This 461-nucleotide ribosomal RNA is filed under the name uncultured bacterium. RNAcentral describes it as "partial 16S ribosomal RNA". It matches the Rfam family "Bacterial small subunit ribosomal RNA", at positions 338 to 795 of the family's 1533-position model. The record is from RNAcentral.
CCUACGGGUGGCUGCAGUGAGGAAUAUUGGUCAAUGGGCGGGAGCCUGAACCAGCCAAGUCGCGUGAGGGAAGACGGUCCUACGGAUUGUAAACCUCUUUUGCCGGGGAGCAACGGGGUCCUUGCGAGGGCCCAAUGAGAGUACCCGGAGAAAAAGCAUCGGCUAACUCCGUGCCAGCAGCCGCGGUAAUACGGAGGCUGCGAGCGUUAUCCGGAUUUAUUGGGUUUAAAGGGUGCGUAGGUUGUUUUUUAAGUCAGCGGUGAAAGUUUGUGGCUCAACCAUAAAAUUGCCGUUGAAACUGGAAGACUUGAGUGUGUUUGAGGUAGGCGGAAUGCGUGGUGUAGCGGUGAAAUGCAUAGAUAUCACGCAGAACUCCGAUUGCGAAGGCAGCUUACUAAGCCAUAACUGACACUGAAGCACGAAAGCGUGGGGAUCAAACAGGAUUAGAUACCCUUGUAGUC